UGGGGAAUAUUGGACAAUGGGGGAAACCCUGAUCCAGCAAUGCCGCGUGAAUGAUGAAGGCCUUCGGGUUGUAAAGUUCUUUUACCUGAGAAGAUAAUGACGGUAUCAGGGGAAAAAGCACCGGCUAACUUCGUGCCAGCAGCCGCGGUAAUACGAAGGGUGCAAGCGUUGUUCGGAAUGACUGGGCGUAAAGGGCGCGUAGGCGGCGAUGUACGUUUGAUGUGAAAGUCCUGGGCUUAACCUGGGGACGGCAUUGAAUACGGCAUUGCUAGAGAGCGAGAGAGGGAGACGGAAUAGUGCGUGUAGAGGUGAAAUUCGUAGAUAUGCACUAGAACACCGGAGGCGAAGGCGGUUUCCUGGCUCGCAACUGACGCUAAGGCGCGAAAGCGUGGGGAGCAAACAGG
Molecule: ribosomal RNA, 404 nt
Filed under: uncultured bacterium
Lineage: Bacteria
Description: bacterial SSU rRNA
Rfam family: Bacterial small subunit ribosomal RNA
Source: RNAcentral